GAGUAAAGUGUGAACAGACAUUGCGUUUAAUAGGAAACAACAGUAAUUCAGAUGGGCGUUUAGAGGUUUUCCAUGAUGGUAUUUGGAAGAACGUAUGCGGUGACAAAUUCGAUAAAAUGGAUGCACAAGUUGUUUGUCGACAGUUAGGAUUUCUGGACCCUCAACGACUUGAUUCGGUUGAUAUUUAUGUUAGCGGUAAUAAUUCAUGGAUUAUAAACAACGGUGAUUACUGGUUAGAUGAUUUGGGUUGUCAAGGAUAUGAAAGUUGGAUUGAAGACUGUGGUCAAUUAAUAUGGGGUCAAACUAACUGUGGUAGUGGUAAUGCAGUUGGGGUAAAGUGCGCCGACACUGAGCUGAGGGUAAGAAUGAAUACGGAACAUUUUGUGGAAAUAUAUUACAAUGAAGUAUGGCAUGGUGUUUGUGCAGACGAUUAUAAUGAAGAAUUUGGGAUGGUUGUUUGUCAUUAUCUUGGAUAUAC
This is a long non-coding RNA of Patella vulgata (common limpet), 478 nucleotides long. RefSeq lists it as uncharacterized. The record is from RefSeq and is a predicted model, not a curated record. The transcript has 4 exons. Lineage: Eukaryota; Metazoa; Mollusca; Gastropoda; Patellidae.